UACAGAGGUGGCAAGCGUUGUUCGGAAUUACUGGGCGUAAAGGGCGCGUAGGCGGCCUUGUAAGUCCUGUGUGAAAUCCCCCGGCUCAACUGGGGAACUGCACAGGAGACUGCUUGGCUUGAGUUCGGGAGAGGGAAGCGGAAUUCCGGGUGUAGCGGUGAAAUGCGUAGAUAUCAGGAGGAACACCGGUGGCGAAGGCGCUCAUCUGGCCCAAUACUGACGCUGAAGCGCGAAAGCUAGGGGAGCAAACGGG
RNAcentral lists this ribosomal RNA (253 nucleotides) under uncultured bacterium. RNAcentral describes it as "partial 16S ribosomal RNA". It matches the Rfam family "Bacterial small subunit ribosomal RNA", at positions 524 to 776 of the family's 1533-position model. The record is from RNAcentral.